GUUGAACCCUUGAAAACGAAAUGAUUAAAAGAACACAUGAUCACGAAAAGAACAGUGAAGACACUACGUAACUAUUAUAACAUAACAACAGUAAAAUUCUGAUGACUUUUGACUUUCCUUCAAAAUUAAUAAUAGUAACCAAAUUGCAAAAAAAAAACAAACUUUAAAUCAAAUGGAAAUACAUAGUUUCUGACGAUUUCUGCACAGCCUCAUAAUAUUGCUGACGUGGCAAUCAAUACGUUGGAAAAGGGAGUAAUCUGUCAUUACGUGGCGAAAGAAGUAAACCACCUUCGAUUUGAGUAUUAAAUAAUUGUUUGGUUACGGGGAGCAUUAGAAAGUCAACACGUCGAGGUUUUUCAGAAGAUUCUUGUGCAUUGCAAGGAUGUCGGAUAACGACGACGAUUUGGAGGCAGUCGA
This is a long non-coding RNA of Nicrophorus vespilloides, 417 nucleotides long. RefSeq lists it as uncharacterized. The record is from RefSeq and is a predicted model, not a curated record. The transcript has 2 exons. Lineage: Eukaryota; Metazoa; Arthropoda; Insecta; Coleoptera; Silphidae.